UACGUAGGGGGCGAGCGUUGUCCGGAUUUAUUGGGCGUAAAGCGCGGGCAGGCGGCCCGGUAAGUCGGCCGUGAAAGCGCCGGGCUCAACUCGGCGAGGGCGGGCGAGACUGCAGGGCUGGAGCAAGGCAGAGGGCGGUGGAAUUCCGGGUGUAGUGGUGGAAUGCGUAGAGCUCCGGAGGAACACCAGUGGCGAAGGCGGCCGCCUGGGCCUUUGCUGACGCUGAGCCGCGAAAGCGUGGGGAGCGAGCCGG
RNAcentral lists this ribosomal RNA (253 nucleotides) under uncultured bacterium. RNAcentral describes it as "partial 16S ribosomal RNA". It matches the Rfam family "Bacterial small subunit ribosomal RNA", at positions 524 to 776 of the family's 1533-position model. The record is from RNAcentral.